UUAUUCAUUAUGUAAGUAAAUCUCCAGAAUUGAUAGGAUACACCAAAUUUAAUUCAAUCUCUAUUGUUGUUUGUACCUUGUAGGUCUGUUCGUUUGCUCAUUUGGGAUGUCCAUCCAAAUGAUUCAUCUGACUAAUCCAUCUAAAUGAUGUUCGUUUCCAUUUUUGGUGGUUCAGUAGGAUGAUCCAUCUAAUUGUUUUUCUU
This 203-nucleotide small RNA is filed under the name Arabidopsis thaliana (thale cress). RNAcentral describes it as "ATSL172280". The record is from RNAcentral. Lineage: Eukaryota; Viridiplantae; Streptophyta; Magnoliopsida; Brassicales; Brassicaceae.